Molecule: small nucleolar RNA, 138 nt
Organism: Echinops telfairi (small Madagascar hedgehog)
Lineage: Eukaryota; Metazoa; Chordata; Mammalia; Afrosoricida; Tenrecidae
Source: RefSeq, a predicted model, not a curated record
GACCUCCUAGGAUCGCAUCUGGAGAAUAGCUAGUAUUCUGCCAGCUUCAGAGAUGGGAGGGAAAACAAGCCUGUCAGAGAGACCCACUCAAUUCCCAGUUUGCUCAGUAGCUGGUGAUUGGAAGAGACUGCGACCGUG